ACAUAUCAAACAAUGAUCAUCCUCACUAAUCACCAGAGAAAUGCAAAUCAAAACCACAAUGAAAUACCAUCUCACACCAGUUAGAAUGGUGGUCAUCAAAAAGUCAGGAAAUAAC
Nomascus leucogenys (northern white-cheeked gibbon) is the source of this 115-nucleotide long non-coding RNA. RefSeq lists it as uncharacterized. Lineage: Eukaryota; Metazoa; Chordata; Mammalia; Primates; Hylobatidae. The transcript has 3 exons. The record is from RefSeq and is a predicted model, not a curated record.